Molecule: unclassified non-coding RNA, 1230 nt
Filed under: Caenorhabditis elegans
Lineage: Eukaryota; Metazoa; Nematoda; Chromadorea; Rhabditida; Rhabditidae
Description: Non-coding transcript of protein-coding gene ckb-4
Source: RNAcentral
ACAUUGUUCGCUGAAAAUUCACUAGAAUCAGAUGUGAUAUUGGAAAAAGUGAUUGAGCUCGGAAGCGACUAUCUACGUGGAGGAUGGGCGCUUGUGGAGAAGAGUGAGGUCACAGUGACACAGAUAACCGGUGGCCAAUCCAACAUUCUCUACUUGGCAACCUCAGCUUCUACCAAAUUAUCUCCGGAUACCCCUUCCUGCUUCCUCAUCAGAAUUCAUCGUCAGGCUCCAUCCCAAGUGUUCACAGAGACAGUGGUGUUCUCGGUUUUGUCUGAACGUGGUCUAGGCCCUAAGCUCUAUGGAUUCUUCCCUGGAGGUCGCCUCGAAGAGUUCUUGCCAAGCAGAACGCUUGACGUCGAUUCUAUUAAACUUCCAGAAAUUGCCCGACAAGUUGGCUCACUCUACCCGAAAUACCAUGAUAUUGAAGUUCCGAUCUCAAAAAGCGCUGGAGCCCUCAAGUUUAUCAAGGAGAACUUGGAAGGAUACAAAGCACUCGGCGGAAAAGUUCUCAAAAUGUGCCCACACUCUGUGAAGUAUGAUAGCAUGCCGAGUGAGCUCACCGUGGAGCAAAUCGAACAGGAAAUUGCUACUUUUGAGAGAUGGUGCAAAGUUUUCGAUGAGACGAUUGUUUUCAGUCAUAACGAUUUGGCGCCACUGAACGUUCUCGAGCUGAACGACACCAAGGAAAUUGUGUUUAUAGAUUUUGAGUAUUCUUCUUACAAUUGGAGAGGUUUUGACUUGUGCAUGUUCCUAUGCGAAAACGCCUUUGACUAUCGGGAUCCAACUCCGCCAGGUCUCGUCAUUGAUCAGGAUUAUAUGGAAAAUCAUCCGAACCUCCAGAUCUUUUGUGAAGCAUACAUUGAUACGCAGUACAAGAUGAAAACCGCUAACCCGAAGCAAAAAUUCCCACUGACUGAAGGGCGUGCCGCUGAAGUGGAGUCUCUCAUGUUGGAGUGCAAAUUUUUCAUUCCACUGGUCAAUAUGUUCUGGGCAGUAUGGUCACUUAGGCAACAUUUGGCAAAAUACGAAAUCGGGAUGGAUUUGGAUGUUAUCGCCAGUGACCGCUUUUCCAUGUACUUCCACUUGAAAGAGCAGUCGAGAGCUAUUUAUGAGCAGUUCAAGAAAUAAAACGUUGCUAAUUCAUUCAUCUCAUUUUAGAUCUUCCCAUCAUUCCUGUUUGAAUUUUUUCUAAUUUUUGAUUUCUGAAUAAAUUUAUUUUUAAAAUUUCAA